CAGCAGCCACGGUAAUACGAAGGGGGCUAGCGUUGUUCGGAUUUACUGGGCGUAAAGCGCACGUAGGCGGACUUUUAAGUCAGGGGUGAAAUCCCGGGGCUCAACCCCGGAACUGCCUUUGAUACUGGAAGUCUUGAGUAUGGUAGAGGUGAGUGGAAUUCCGAGUGUAGAGGUGAAAUUCGUAGAUAUUCGGAGGAACACCAGUGGCGAAGGCGGCCAUCUGGGACAACACUGACGCUGAGGCACGAAAGCGUGGGGAGCAAACAGGAUUAGAGACCCCCGUAGUCCCUGUCUCUUAUAC
RNAcentral lists this ribosomal RNA (301 nucleotides) under uncultured bacterium. Its description in RNAcentral is "partial 16S ribosomal RNA". It matches the Rfam family "Bacterial small subunit ribosomal RNA", at positions 509 to 807 of the family's 1533-position model. The record is from RNAcentral.